This 590-nucleotide ribosomal RNA is filed under the name uncultured Ferribacterium sp. RNAcentral's name for it is "bacterial SSU rRNA". It matches the Rfam family "Bacterial small subunit ribosomal RNA", at positions 334 to 916 of the family's 1533-position model. The record is from RNAcentral. Lineage: Bacteria; Pseudomonadati; Pseudomonadota; Betaproteobacteria; Rhodocyclales; Azonexaceae.
UACUCCUACGGGAAGCAGCAGUGGGGAAUUUUGGACAAUGGGCGCAAGCCUGAUCCAGCCAUGCCGCGUGAGUGAAGAAGGCCUUCGGGUUGUAAAGCUCUUUCAGCCGGGAAGAAAACGCAUGGGUUAAUACCCUGUGUGGAUGACGGUACCGGAAUAAGAAGCACCGGCUAACUACGUGCCAGCAGCCGCGGUAAUACGUAGGGUGCGAGCGUUAAUCGGAAUUACUGGGCGUAAAGCGUGCGCAGGCGGUUUUGUAAGACAGGCGUGAAAUCCCCGGGCUCAACCUGGGAACUGCGUUUGUGACUGCAAGGCUAGAGUAUGGCAGAGGGGGGUGGAAUUCCACGUGUAGCAGUGAAAUGCGUAGAGAUGUGGAGGAACACCGAUGGCGAAGGCAGCCCCCUGGGCCAAUACUGACGCUCAUGCACGAAAGCGUGGGUUGCAAGCAGGAUUAGAUACCCUGGUAGUCCACGCCCUGAACGAUGUCAACUAGGUGUUGGGUGGGUAAAACCAUUUAGUACCGGAGCUAACGCGUGAAGUUGACCGCCUGGGGAGUACGGCCGCAAGGUUAAAACUCAAAGGAAUGACGG